Molecule: long non-coding RNA, 1354 nt
Organism: Haliotis rubra (blacklip abalone)
Lineage: Eukaryota; Metazoa; Mollusca; Gastropoda; Lepetellida; Haliotidae
Exons: 3
Source: RefSeq, a predicted model, not a curated record
GUAACUCUACGGCUACAGUGCCGUCAUCUUCCAAAAGUGCCGUCAAACGUCAUCUACGGGGUUUACACAUUCCACUGCACGAUCCUCGCCAUUUUUAGAAGACUGGGCAAGCUGACGUUGUCAUUAUUCUCCCAAGGUAAGCGCUAUGCGAAAAUAUAGUACACACAUUGAUGACAUUGCGAAGAUAAUGUUCACAUAUUAAUGUUUACAUGUUGUAUUGAUGCUGGAAGUCUAAGAUCAUGUGUAAACAGUGAGUCAUAACCUAGACUGGGCAACCACAUAGUCAAAUGGGUGGUGUACGUUUAUCUAAAACAUCUGAAUCAGUGCAACUCCCAGUCAGGUAAACAAAACAAUGUUAUGAACUUAUCCUACUUGGAACUUCAGGUGAGUAUUUCAACUCAAAUAUUUAUUGUAUCAUUGUAGAUUUAAAUCGAGUAUAUUGUUCACUGGGAAAAUGUAAUUCAAUAUUCUUGACAGGAACCGAGAAAUUGACCUGUCUGACUUUCUGGAAUUAUGAUCUACAAACAAUAAGAUGAGAGAAAUAAAUACAUUCGAACAUCAUUACAUUUCCAUUAUGGUUCUGACCUAACCUAAAUGUGGUCUUCAGGUUCCCACUUACUUCCACAUUAAGUGACAUGAUACUUUCAUUUUGUUUCAGCAGAUCUCUCAAGCCGCAGUCUACUGUCUGCGCUGCCAACACCAGACAGGAUCCCCCUUCCUGAUCUUACACCUACUACGAUUGCAGCCCUUCAAGCAGGUGAAAGGAGCAGCCAGAUUUUUAACUCUGUAUUGAAGCAGUGUGAAACAGUUUACACAACUGUUUAUCCAUCAAUGUCAUCUUCACCAUACUAUCAAUCAAUCGUCAGGAGGAUGGUGGCAAAAUAUCCUUCAUUGGCCUAUGCACAUGGCAAGACACUUUGGAGCUUUUUGUGUCCAAAUUGAGUCAGCGAUGCCGCACCAAUAGAUUUCAAAACAAUGCAAAAUCAACAAGACCUGCGCCUAAGGAUUCUGAAGAUGCACAACCUCAGAAGUUGUUCAAGAUGGCUAAUAAAUCAUCAGGUGUGACAUCAGAGAAAGAUUUUGCAUCCCAUCUUGAUGAAAUAAAGAAGGAAUGGGAAGGAAAGCAAUCAAUUACUCAUCUGCAAACUCUACUAAAACAGACAAGACAAUUCCGCAAAGAGUGGCAAACCACCUUGAAGCCUGGGAAGAUUGAGCCCAUUUUAGAAAAGUUCCCUUGUUUUGAGGAAGGAUGCUUUUUGGUGUAUGAAUUCUUUUGCCAACGCAGUGAUGAUCCAGAGGAAGCGAGGGAAGAAAUUGCCAGAAAUAUGAAAUGGAUAAUGCACACUGUCGUAUC